CCCCCAGUAACUUCUAAAAUAAGAGAAUGAUAAAACUUAUAAAAAUAUAUUAUGUACAUUACCAUGCAAACUUCCACCGAAAAUUGGUUUGCACGAGAUCUAGUAAGUAGUUUUUUUUUAAUACGUUAUAAAUCAACUAAAACUGAUUUUUUUUUCAUCAAACCCAUACGUGUGGGGUAUCUAUGGAUAGGUCUUCAAAGUUGAUAUUGAGGUUUCUAAUAUAAUUUUUUUCUAAACUGAAUAGUUUGCGCGAGAGAAACUUCCAAAGUGGUAAAAUGUGCCCCCCCCCCCCCUGUAACUUCUAAAAUAAGAGAAUAAUAAAACUAAAAAAAAAUA
Long non-coding RNA from Cydia splendana, 336 nucleotides. RefSeq lists it as uncharacterized. The transcript is spliced from 2 exons. The record is from RefSeq and is a predicted model, not a curated record. Lineage: Eukaryota; Metazoa; Arthropoda; Insecta; Lepidoptera; Tortricidae.